RNAcentral lists this ribosomal RNA (748 nucleotides) under Acinetobacter radioresistens WC-A-157. Its description in RNAcentral is "bacterial SSU rRNA". It matches the Rfam family "Bacterial small subunit ribosomal RNA", at positions 28 to 771 of the family's 1533-position model. The record is from RNAcentral. Lineage: Bacteria; Pseudomonadati; Pseudomonadota; Gammaproteobacteria; Moraxellales; Moraxellaceae.
AUUGAACGCUGGCGGCAGGCUUAACACAUGCAAGUCGAGCGGAUGAAAGUAGCUUGCUACCGGAUUCAGCGGCGGACGGGUGAGUAAUGCUUAGGAAUCUGCCUAUUAGUGGGGGACAACGUUCCGAAAGGAGCGCUAAUACCGCAUACGUCCUACGGGAGAAAGCAGGGGACCUUCGGGCCUUGCGCUAAUAGAUGAGCCUAAGUCGGAUUAGCUAGUUGGUAGGGUAAAGGCCUACCAAGGCGACGAUCUGUAGCGGGUCUGAGAGGAUGAUCCGCCACACUGGGACUGAGACACGGCCCAGACUCCUACGGGAGGCAGCAGUGGGGAAUAUUGGACAAUGGGGGGAACCCUGAUCCAGCCAUGCCGCGUGUGUGAAGAAGGCCUUUUGGUUGUAAAGCACUUUAAGCGAGGAGGAGGCUACCUAGAUUAAUACUUUAGGAUAGUGGACGUUACUCGCAGAAUAAGCACCGGCUAACUCUGUGCCAGCAGCCGCGGUAAUACAGAGGGUGCGAGCGUUAAUCGGAUUUACUGGGCGUAAAGCGUGCGUAGGCGGCCAAUUAAGUCAAAUGUGAAAUCCCCGAGCUUAACUUGGGAAUUGCAUUCGAUACUGGUUGGCUAGAGUAUGGGAGAGGAUGGUAGAAUUCCAGGUGUAGCGGUGAAAUGCGUAGAGAUCUGGAGGAAUACCGAUGGCGAAAGCAGCCAUCUGGCCUAAUACUGACGCUGAGUACGAAAGCAUGGGGAGCAA